GUGGCUGUACAAGGUAGAAUUCUACGUUGUGGCCGUAGAGACCUGGGCUCGAAUCCCAGCAGCCACA
Populus trichocarpa (black cottonwood) is the source of this 67-nucleotide non-coding RNA. Lineage: Eukaryota; Viridiplantae; Streptophyta; Magnoliopsida; Malpighiales; Salicaceae. The record is from Rfam.